This 229-nucleotide unclassified non-coding RNA is filed under the name Hevea brasiliensis (rubber tree). The record is from RNAcentral. Lineage: Eukaryota; Viridiplantae; Streptophyta; Magnoliopsida; Malpighiales; Euphorbiaceae.
UCACGCAAAAUAUUGAAGACCCUACCAAGGAGCUCCUCAUAUUCAUAAUCACGAUCACUCCCCUCCCAAGGAUAAAGCUGCUGUUCUUGGGCAUUUCCUUCUCCUCCUUCAUUCUCUCCAUCCAAAUCUUCUCCUGCAUCCCCACUUUCCUCAUUUAAAAUACCAGAUUCUACUGGUUUCUUCUUCUUCUUUUUUAAACCAGUAAAAGUACUCUCAACCCCAUCAGAGA